GUAGUCGCAAUUAGCUGCCCAGCCCAUAAGUGUCGCACACAAAGGAGCUUUUUAACUACAGAUCUUUCACAGAUUUUUGCGCUGACGAGAUGGUUAUAGAAACAGCACAACAAUUUUUCUCAGCAGUGAAGGGAGGGCUUGAGAAUAAUCCUCUGGCUUCAAACAUCGGUUUUGGACUGAUCCUUUUCUGCUUUGAGAAAAUUGUAGAGUUGGAGUUUGUUUGUCCCUGUCAGUCGACACUGAAUGCCGUCUCUGUGUUGUCAUUUUUAUCAGCUCCAGCAUUGAUCGUCUUUACGCUCAUGCUUAGUACUAAAAAUCCGUGUAAAUCAUGUCUGGAAAAUUUCCUUCGUGGUUUAGUUCCUGCUGUAACAUGGUGUGUAAUAGUGUUAAUAGAUGGUCGUUAUUAUGCCUGUUUUUGGACCAACUGGACAGGAAAAUAUGAAAUUAGUCAGAGCGAGACUGCUUACCCUCUGAAAUGGUGUAACCCAGCUAAUGUAUCUCAGAAGGAGAGCCAGACUCUGGUGUGGUACUCCAAGUCACAGGUCAUUGGACUCUGGGUUGCAGUUGGUCUGACUGCAGUUUUUAAGCUCUAUUUGUUCUGCAUGUCCUUCUGCUGCAAACAUCAAGAAAGAACAGACGAUGGAAAUGCCUCUGAAAACGUCCCUCUCUAGUAAGCGAACAGCGAAUGACAGAAAUUCAGAAAACAAUCACAUUUGGGGGGAGGGUGGACAACCAAUUUGAACAGUCAGGCAUAAUGCAGAAACUCUAGAGUAAUGUUAAAAUAUCUUCCAGUUGGAGGCAAACAAUUAUUCAACUGCUAUUGUGGAUAAUAAAACAUUUGUAAGGUAUACUAAAUUUACUUCUAGUUAUAACAAAACAAAGUCUCUACUUUCAAAAUGUUAUGUUAAAUGGUUUGUUAGAAUAUUAAUGCAUAAUAUUUCUUGUUUAGAUCAUUUAUUGUAUUAUACAUUUUAACUUACUUUUUUGUUUCUUAAACAUAUUUACAUUGUAUUCUGUAUAAUUUUGAAAUCAUCAUAUUCCAGUUAAAGCUGUUGUUGCCCUGUAACAGAGUCUCUCUUCCAUAUGUCUAGCUUCAUGCUUUGGGUGUGGCUUCCUGUUGAACCUGAGCGUACAGCUAAACAAAUCUACUUAUUCAAAUUCUCCAUUGUUUCGGGAAAGUUUUAAAUUUAUUCCUGUUUAUUUCUUUACUUUCAUUUUCCAAGUUCCAGUACACCAGUGUAACAGAGAGAAAGGUGUGUAUGAAUGUAUAUGUGAAUUUUAAUGAUAAUAAUAGUGUGUGUGUGUGUUUGUAAUGAGAUUUUUGAACCAUGUGUUUGGAGCCACCUAGUGGUGUGAUGAGUGACUGCACGCAACGGGUCCUUCAGGCGCUCUCGGCUUCCCCACCAGAGUUCCUGAGGACCGCUGGUGGAGGAAGGUGCGAGAGAGGCAGCUCUUCGCUAUUUUUCUUUUUUUUUUUUUACUUGGGUCAUAUUUUUCUAGUUCAACAAUUAACGAAAUACUGUAAGAUCAUUUAACAUUUACAAAUAUAAUUUAUAAAGGUUUCUCCUGGUUGGGAAGAAAAAAUAUGACCCUAUGAGUGAGAGCUGCGCCAGUUGGUGUUUGUGGCUGACCAUUCGGUCACGACACUAACUGUGUCUUUUGUUUUCAGCUGUUGAACCACUUGCAUGCAGUCAGUCACAUUGUGAGAGUUUCAUUUUGUAUCGCACUAGGUGGGUUGAAAGUAUAUAGUUAUGAGUAUAUAUAUAUAUAUAUAUAUAUAUAUAUAUAUAUGUAGCCUAUAUUUAGAAAAAAAAAUGUUUGUGAAUGUAACUGUUCACUGCUAUGGCAGUUGUCUGUUAUUUUACUGUUUGAUUCAUGGAAUAAGAAUGUUUUGUUUUGAGGAAUUGUUAACUGUCUUAUUGUUUAAACUAUAUGAUCACAUCUAAAAAAAAGAGAAAAAUAAAGAAUUCUGAGGAACGCAGUUGGAACUAUUGGA
This is a long non-coding RNA of Gambusia affinis (western mosquitofish), 1996 nucleotides long. RefSeq lists it as uncharacterized. The record is from RefSeq and is a predicted model, not a curated record. Lineage: Eukaryota; Metazoa; Chordata; Actinopteri; Cyprinodontiformes; Poeciliidae. The transcript is spliced from 3 exons.